This 407-nucleotide ribosomal RNA is filed under the name uncultured prokaryote. Its description in RNAcentral is "bacterial SSU rRNA". It matches the Rfam family "Bacterial small subunit ribosomal RNA", at positions 355 to 776 of the family's 1533-position model. The record is from RNAcentral. RNAcentral also lists the same sequence under 1 other name.
UGGGGAAUAUUGGGCAAUGGGGGAAACCCUGACCCAGCAACGCCGCGUGAGGGAAGAAGGUUUUCGGAUUGUAAACCUCUGUCCUUGGUGAAGAAAGAGAUGACGGUAGCCAAGGAGGAAGCCCCGGCUAACUACGUGCCAGCAGCCGCGGUAAUACGUAGGGGGCGAGCGUUGUCCGGAAUGACUGGGCGUAAAGGGCGUGUAGGCGGCCGAUUAAGUCCGGAGUGAAAGUCCUGCUUUCAAGGUGGGAAUUGCUUUGGAAUCUGGUUGGCUUGAGUGCGGAAGAGGUAAGUGGAAUUCCCAGUGUAGCGGUGAAAUGCGUAGAUAUCGGGAGGAACACCAGUGGCGAAGGCGGGUAACUGGACUGCAACUGACGCUGAGGCGCGAAAGUGUGGGGAGCAAACAGG